Molecule: ribosomal RNA, 142 nt
Filed under: Veillonella dispar
Lineage: Bacteria; Bacillati; Bacillota; Negativicutes; Veillonellales; Veillonellaceae
Description: partial 16S ribosomal RNA
Rfam family: Bacterial small subunit ribosomal RNA
Source: RNAcentral
AUCUUGGAGAGUUUGAUCCUGGCUCAGGACGAACGCUGGCGGUGUGCUUAACACAUGCAAGUCGAACGAAGAGCGAUGGAAGCUUGCUUCUAUCAAUCUUAGUGGCGAACGGGUGAGUAACGCGUAAUCAACCUGCCCUUCA